GAUGAAGAACGUAGCGAAAUGCGAUAAGUAAUGUGAAUUGCAGAAUUCAGUGAAUCAUCGAAUCUUUGAACGCACAUUGCGCCCGCUAGUAUUCUGGCGGGCAUGCCUGUCCGAGCGUCAUUUCAACCCUCAAGCCCCCGGGCUUGGUGUUGGGGAUCGGCGAGCCUCCGCGCCUCCGUCCCCUAAAUCUAGUGGCGGUCUCGCUGUAGCUUCCUCUGCGUAGUAGCACACCUCGCACUGGGAAACAGCGCGGCCACGCCGUUAAACCCCCAACUUCUGAACGUUUGACCUCGGAUCAGGUAGGAAUACCCGCUGAACUUAAGCAUAUCAAUAAGCGGAGGA
RNAcentral lists this unclassified non-coding RNA (342 nucleotides) under soil metagenome. RNAcentral's name for it is "partial contains 5.8S ribosomal RNA, internal transcribed spacer 2, and large subunit ribosomal RNA". The stretch from base 1 to 120 matches the Rfam family "5.8S ribosomal RNA", at positions 35 to 154 of the family's 154-position model. The record is from RNAcentral.